GCGCAGCAGGCGCGAAACUUUACAAUGUGCGAAAGCACGAUAAGGGAACUCUGAGUGCCUCCUAAGGAGGCUGUUCAGGUGUCUAAAAGCACCUGAAGGAAGGGCUGGGUAAGACCGGUGCCAGCCGCCGCGGUAACACCGGCAGCCCAAGUGGUAGCCACGUUUAUUGGGUCUAAAGCGUCCGUAGCCGGCUGGGUAAGUUCCUUGGGAAAUUUGGCUGCUUAACAGUCAAGCUUUCAGGGAAUACUGCCCGGCUUGGGACCGGGAGAGGUCAGAGGUACUCCAGGGGUAGGGGUGAAAUCCAUUAAUCCUUGGGGGACCACCGGUAGCGAAGGCGUCUGACCAGACCGGGUCCGACGGUGAGGGACGAAGGCUAGGGGCGCGAACCGGAUUAGAUACCCCCGUAGU
RNAcentral lists this ribosomal RNA (408 nucleotides) under uncultured microorganism. RNAcentral's name for it is "bacterial SSU rRNA". It matches the Rfam family "Archaeal small subunit ribosomal RNA", at positions 330 to 745 of the family's 1478-position model. The record is from RNAcentral.